CGGGGUGUGGCUCAGCUUGGUAGAGCGCUUCGCUUGGGACGAAGAGGUCGUAGGUUCAAAUCCUGCCACCCCGACCA
This 77-nucleotide transfer RNA is filed under the name Candidatus Melainabacteria bacterium. RNAcentral's name for it is "tRNA-Pro". It matches the Rfam family "tRNA". Rfam says of the family: Transfer RNA (tRNA) molecules are approximately 80 nucleotides in length. The record is from RNAcentral. Lineage: Bacteria; Bacillati; Candidatus Melainabacteria.